CAGGACCACAUGUUGUCCUCGGGCACCUCCGGGUGGCGAUGCUGAGACGGUGGGAAGUGUUUCUGGAUGGAGUUGUUACACAGGUGAACUGAGCUGUGAUGGGACACAGAAAGAAGGACAGCAGAGAAGACGCACCCCUGCCUCGUGACUUGGCCCCGGGCUUAACGAUCCAGAUGUUGUGGAUUCCGUCUGUUUCCAGCUGGGGACAGACCUUCCGCAGCCUCUGCAGCAUCGCCCGACAGCGGUCUGUGUACCGAGCGCUGUCAUCCAUCGUCACGCCGUUGCUGCGGAAAUGAGGGACACCAGCCAAAAUGACAAAAAGGAAAAUGGAUAUAUGAUCAUUUUUCUAUGCAGCAAAACACCAAUAGAAAUACGUGCUUUCAUUACGAACCAGACGAGACUUGAAAGAGGUGAAAGAAGAGGACGAUUAAAAUCCUCAUCUUCUUCAUCCCUGUGGCGGCAUCUCGCCAGGGGGUUUGGGUGCGGUAUGUGGCGUUCCACCCAGCCCCGUGC
Molecule: non-coding RNA, 513 nt
Organism: Paramormyrops kingsleyae
Lineage: Eukaryota; Metazoa; Chordata; Actinopteri; Osteoglossiformes; Mormyridae
Source: RefSeq, a predicted model, not a curated record